UACGUAGGGUGCGAGCGUUGUCCGGAAUGACUGGGCGUAAAGGGCGUGUAGGCGGCUAAAUAAGUCUGGAGUGAAAGUCCUGCAUUCAGUGUGGGAAUUGCUUUGGGUACUGUAUAGCUUGAGUGCGGAAGAGGUAAGUGGAAUUCCCAGUGUAGCGGUGAAAUGCGUAGAGAUUGGAGGGACACCAGUGGCGAAGGCGACUUACUGGGCCGUAACUGACGCUGAGGCGCGAAAGCGUGGGGAGCGAACA
This 250-nucleotide ribosomal RNA is filed under the name uncultured prokaryote. RNAcentral describes it as "partial 16S ribosomal RNA". It matches the Rfam family "Bacterial small subunit ribosomal RNA", at positions 524 to 774 of the family's 1533-position model. The record is from RNAcentral.